UUCGAUUAGAGUUUGAUCAUGGCUCAGAACGUACGCUGGCGGCACGCCUAACACAUGCAAGUCGAACGAAGUAGCAAUACUUAGUGGCAGACGGGUGAGUAACAUGUAGGUAUCUACCCUUUGGCCUGGAAUAACACGAGGAAACUUGUGCUAAUACCGGAUAAGUCUUUACGGAGAAAGCUUUAUGCACCAUUGGAUGAGCCUGCACUUGAUUAGUUUGUUGGUGGGGUAAUGGCCUACCAAGACUGUGAUCAAUAGCUGAUUUGAGAGGAUGAUCAGCCACAUUGGGACUGAGACACGGCCCAAACUCCUACGGGAGGCAGCAGUGGGGAAUCUUGCACAAUGGAGGAAACUCUGAUGCAGCGAUGCCGCGUGAGUGAAGAAGGCCUUUGGGUUGUAAAGCUCUUUCGUCGGGGAAGAAAAUGACUGUACCCGAAUAAGAAGGUCCGGCUAACUUCGUGCCAGCAGCCGCGGUAAUACGAAGGGACCUAGCGUAGUUCGGAAUUACUGGGCUUAAAGAGUUCGUAGGUGGUUGAAAAAGUUAGUGGUGAAAUCCCAGAGCUUAACUCUGGAACUGCCAUUAAAACUUUUCAGCUAGAGUAUGAUAGAGGAAAGCAGAAUUUCUAGUGUAGAGGUGAAAUUCGUAGAUAUUAGAAAGAAUACCAAUUGCGAAGGCAGCUUUCUGGAUCAUUACUGACACUGAGGAACGAAAGCAUGGGUAGCGAAGAGGAUUAGAUACCCUCGUAGUCCAUGCCGUAAACGAUGUGUGUUAGACGUUGGAAAUUUAUUUUCAGUGUCGCAGCGAAAGCGAUAAACACACCGCCUGGGGAGUACGACCGCAAGGUUAAAACUCAAAUGAAUUGACGGGGACCCGCACAAGUAGUGGAGCAUGUGGUUUAAUUCGAAGAUACGCGCAGAACCUUACCAACACUUGACAUGUUCGUCGCGACUCUAAGAGAUUAGAGUUUUCGGUUCGGCCGGACGAAACACAGGUGCUGCAUGGCUGUCGUCAGCUCGUGUCGUGAGAUGUUGGGUUAAGUCCCGCAACGAGCGCAACCCUCACUUUUAGUUGCCAUCAUUAAGUUGGGCACUCUGAAAGAACUGCCAGUGAUAAGCUGGAGGAAGGUGGGGAUGACGUCAAGUCCUCAUGGCCCUUAUGUGUUGGGCUACACACGUGCUACAAUGGUAUCUACAACAGGAAGCGAAACUGCGAAGUUAAGCAAAUCCUUAAAAGAUACCUCAGUUCGGAUUGCACUCUGCAACUCGAGUGCAUGAAGCUGGAAUUACUAGUAAUCGUGGAUCAGCGUGCCACGGUGAAUGCGUUCCCGGGUCUUGUAGA
Molecule: ribosomal RNA, 1339 nt
Filed under: uncultured bacterium
Lineage: Bacteria
Description: bacterial SSU rRNA
Rfam family: Bacterial small subunit ribosomal RNA
Source: RNAcentral